Long non-coding RNA from Zeugodacus cucurbitae (melon fly), 749 nucleotides. RefSeq lists it as uncharacterized. The transcript has 2 exons. The record is from RefSeq and is a predicted model, not a curated record. Lineage: Eukaryota; Metazoa; Arthropoda; Insecta; Diptera; Tephritidae.
AAUAAAGCUUAAAAUAAAAUGUUGGCAGGGUUGCCACAUCUUUUUGCCAAAAUUAUAACCUUAUAUUAUUAAUUUCUUAAAAAUAAACUAUUUAGAACGAAAAAAUGUUCGUACAAAAAUCCAAAAUUAAAUUCAAAAUUUUUCAAUCGCAGAGCAGUUAAAAUUUAUUUCAAAAUUAUUUUAAUCAUAGAGCAAGGCUACACGGAAAGAUUUUAAAGUCUGCGAGUCAAAGCAUUUGAUGUAAAAUACACACAGCCACGAAGACAAUAAACAAACAAAGCAACGCACAACAGCAAGUCCAUGAAGGCCCUGGAAGAGAGGAAGAAGCAGGAGAAGACGCGGUGGAACUUAAAGAAGCUGCUGAAAUAAACGAGUACAAUAUGAUGUGGCAGCAAAAGUAGCAGCAACAAAUUCACAACAUCAUUUAUACCAGCUGUCAUGCAGCAGAAAAGAGCACCGCCAACACCAGCAACAACAUCACCAGUGUAGUAGUUGCAGCAACAAAAACAACAACAAUAACGCUAAACAAUAAUAGCAACAUUAGCAUCAGCGACAUUGCCACCGGCAACACCAGCAGAACAUCGCCGCAACAGCAAUGGCGUCAGCAACAGCAGCAAGCGAGCGUCGGCAGCACAAAAAGGCGCCAACAGCAUUGUGCGACCACUGGCGGCGGCAUGGUGGGGGCAGAGGUGUUGUCGCCUAAACACAGUUAUUCAGCCAAUUCUCGACACUUUUUUCGCUGCUAAAUU